GAAAACCAAAGAUUGGAGAGAGAGAGAGAGAAAUGGAGACGCAUGCUCUCACAGAACACCUCCAUUUCAAUAGAAGGCCAUAGCAGUACCCACUCAGUCUCCUCUGCUCCAAGUUGAGUCCAGUAUCUUUAGGGAUUUUCCAGAGUUACAAGCUUGGCACAAGCAACAGGGGAGCAGAGACAAUAGUUGCAGGGCGACCAGAACUGAACACAAUAUUCCAAGUGCAGCAUCACCAGCAUCUUGUACAACCACACCAUGACCUCCCAACUUCUAUAUUCAAUGCCCUGACUGAUGAAGACUGCUUGUCAGAAGCCUUCUUCACCACCCUGUCUACCUGUGAGAUUUUGCCUCAACCUGUGGAGCAGUUUCA
Molecule: long non-coding RNA, 370 nt
Organism: Pristis pectinata (smalltooth sawfish)
Lineage: Eukaryota; Metazoa; Chordata; Chondrichthyes; Rhinopristiformes; Pristidae
Exons: 3
Source: RefSeq, a predicted model, not a curated record